Molecule: small nuclear RNA, 120 nt
Filed under: Salmo trutta (river trout)
Lineage: Eukaryota; Metazoa; Chordata; Actinopteri; Salmoniformes; Salmonidae
Description: U5 spliceosomal RNA (ENSSTUG00000001317.1)
Rfam family: U5 spliceosomal RNA
About the family: U5 RNA is a component of both types of known spliceosome. The precise function of this molecule is unknown, though it is known that the 5' loop is required for splice site selection and p220 binding, and that both the 3' stem-loop and the Sm site are important for Sm protein binding and cap methylation.
Source: RNAcentral
AAUGUUAGGCUUUAUAUGUUUGUAUGUCGCUUAAAUCUUUCGCCUUUAACUAAAGUUUUCCGUGGGGAGGAACAAUACAAAUAUCAAUAACUUUUAUGACACCUUGCUUUACUGCGGUGC